AUGCCGCCGGCCGGCAGCCUCACCGCCGAGCAGCUCAGCUUCUUCGAGAAGAACGGCUACCUGGUGCUGGAGUCGUUCUCGAGCGCGGAGGAGGUUCAGGCUAUGCGGGGCCGCAUGGCCGAGCUCGUCCACGGCUUCGACGGCGCUGACUCCAGUGUCUUCUCCACUAAGGAUCAUCGGCAGUUGAAGGAUGACUACUUCUUUAAGAGUGCGGAGAAUAUAUCUUUCUUCUUCGAGGAAAAGGCAUUUGGAGAUGAUGGAUGCUUGAGACAGCCAAAGGAACUUUCAAUCAAUAAAGUUGGACAUGCACUACAUGAACAUGACCCUGUGUUCAAAAAGUUUGCUUUCUCGGAGAGUAUUUCUAGCCUGUUCUCUUCUUUAGGGUACAAGAGACCUGCAGUUAUUCAAUCUAUGUACAUCUUUAAGCAACCGGGCAUUGGUGGCGAGGUGGUGCCACACCAGGAUAAUACAUUCCUUUAUACAGAGCCCCUAUCAUGCACAGGAUUGUGGCUAGCACUUGAAGAUGCAACAAUUACAAACGGUUGCCUAUGGGCAAUUCCCGGAUCACAUAAAAAUGGUCUAAAAAGGCGAAUGAUCAGAGAUGAAAAUGGUACUCAUUUUGAUCGCCCCUCCCCGCUUUAUGACCAGAAAGAGUUUGUACCACUGGAAAUGAAAUCAGGUGACUUUGUUGUUAUUCACGGCGAUCUUGUACAUCAGAGCUUUGAGAACCUUUCUCCAGUGUCAAGACAUGCACUGAGCUUACAUGUAGUUGACAUGGAAGGAUGUAAAUGGUCCAAGGACAACUGGAUACAGAGGAAAACUGCGCCUGAACCGCUCUAUGUGUCUUAG
RNAcentral lists this ribosomal RNA (849 nucleotides) under Triticum aestivum (bread wheat). RNAcentral describes it as "partial small subunit ribosomal RNA". The record is from RNAcentral. Lineage: Eukaryota; Viridiplantae; Streptophyta; Magnoliopsida; Poales; Poaceae.